Molecule: long non-coding RNA, 6920 nt
Filed under: Sus scrofa (pig)
Lineage: Eukaryota; Metazoa; Chordata; Mammalia; Artiodactyla; Suidae
Description: lncRNA (ENSSSCG00025057332.1)
Source: RNAcentral
ACCUAACUCCUGCUGUGCAGCCAGGCCUCACUGUUUUUGUAGAGUCUGCCAAGGGGACAUCAGAUAAUAAAUGCUUGAUCCCUGCCUGCCAGACUCUUAAUACCAGGGGCCCAAAGCAGAGAAACGCCGUGUGGUUUUUGGCAUCAUAUCCUCUGCUUGCUAAAUAACCAAAGGCUUAAACUAUUUGUUUUUUUUUUGUUUUUUUUUUUUUUUUUUUUUUUUUGUCUUUAUUUUUAAGGCUGCAUCCGAGGCAUAUGGAGUUUCCCAGGCUAGGGGUCAAAUUGUAGUUGUGGCUGCUGGCCUGCACCACAGCCAUAGCAACAUGGUAUCCGAGCUACAUUUUCGACCUACACCACAGCUAAGCUCACGGCAACGCUGGAUCCUUAACCCACUGAGCGAGGUCAGGGAUCGAACCUGAGUCCUCAUGGAUACUAGUUGGGUUCGUUAACCUCUGAGCCACAAUGGGAACUCCGAUAAUAGGUUUUUUUGCAUUUGUUUUGCUGUUUUGAGUUUUCAUUAAUUUUAGAAAUGGUGGUAAGUAGAGAGGUGUGCAUUAAAAGUUUUUUAAAAAGCCAGUAUAUAUAAUUUGCUCCUUAAUUUGUUAGUGUUUAGGUGCUAAAAAUGGAAUGAUCUGGUUAAGUAAAUAAGUUAGAGACCUGAUUAUUUAUAGUCAUUCUUAGAAGGUUGGUGUUUUAAGGGACUUUUAUUUUGAAUACUAUGUCCUACCCAAUUUAAUAAUAUGCUUAUUAUAUUUAAGGUGGCUUGAUUUAGUUAAGAAGUACUGAGUUAGGAUGUGGAAGAUCUGGUAUGUGUUAGCUUUGUGGCCUUGUAAAUUCAUUUAGCCUGUCAGAGCUGUUUUGUGAAAGUAUUACCAUCAUAUGCCCUUCUAUUUAUGGUGUUAAAUGACUUGAGUUUCACUCAAUAAAUAAGUUUUCAUUUUUUUGAGGCCCCAAAAUGCAAAAAUACAUUUCCUCUGCACUGUAUUAAAAAUACAUGAAAACAUAGGUUAAAAGGUCAUACAUACUUUCAAAUGUCCUGUAACUCUGGGCUUUAUCUGGUAGAUGGAAGUGACCUAGGGACCUGGGAGUUAGAGCUAGAAAGAGCUCUGUGCUUAGGCCUCAGGAGGCCUACAAAACCCUCUUAAAUUAAUAGGCUUAAUGUUGUAUGUGUGUAUUUUUUCUGGAGAGAUGGCUUAUGUUAUUCAUUAUGUUUUCAGAGAAGCCCAUGUUCCCUGAAAAGAAUGAUCUAUUGAUUUGUCUUUUGAAAAAGAUUUUUUGGAUAAGUUAGGUAGUUCUAUACCAUAUCAUGUUUUUUUUGCUUUAUUUUUAUUACUCAAAUGAAUUUAUCACAUCUGUAGUUGUAUAAUGAUCAUAACAAUCCAAUUUCACAGGAUUGCCGUCCCAUAACCCAAGCACAUCCCCCCGCCCCCAAAAUGUCUCCUCUGGAGACUGUAAGUUUUUCAAUGUCUGUGAGUCAGCAUCUGUUCUGCAAAGAAGUUCAGUCUGUACUUUUUUCAGAUUCCACAUGUCAGUGAAAGCAUUUGGUGUUGGUGUCUCAUUGUAUGGCCGACUUCACUUAGCAUGAUAGUUUCUAGGUCCAUCCAUGUUGCUGAAAAUGCUGGUAUUUCAUUCUUUUUAAUGGUUGGGUAAUAUUCCAUUGUGUAUAUGUACCACAUCUUCUUGAUCCACUCCUCUGUCGAUGGACAUUUAGGUUGUUUCCAUGUCUUGGCUACUGCAAAUAGUGCUGCAAUGAACAUGGGAGUACCUGUGUCUUUGCGAGUCGUCGUUUUUUUCUGGAUAAAUGCCCAGAAGGGGGAUCGCUGGAUCAAAUGGUAGUUCUAUUUUGAGUUUUCUGAGGAAUCUCCCUACUGCUUUCCACAGUGGUUGCACCAAUUUACAGUCCCACCAACAAUGUACCUAGGGUUCCUUUUUCUCCACACCCUCUCCAGCACUUCUUGUUUGUAGACUUUUUGAUGAUGGCCAUUCUGGCUGGUGUAAGGUGGUACCUCAUCGUGGUUUUGAUGUACAUUUCUCUAAUAAUGAGUGAUGUUGAACAUCUUUUCAUGUGUUUUUUGGCCAUCUGUAUGUCUUCUUUGGAGAACUGUCUGUUGAGAUCUUCUGCCCAUUUUUGGAUGGGGUUGUUUGUAUUUUUGGUAUGGAGCUGCAGAAGGUGUUUGUAGGUUUUGGAGAUGAAUCCCUUGUCAGUCGAUUCACUUGCAAAGAUUUUCUCCCAUUCUGUGGGUUGUCUUUGCAUUUUGUUCAGGGUUUCCUUUGCUGUGCAGAAACUUUGAAGUUUGAGUAGGUCCCAUUUGUUUAUUUUUGUUUUUACUGUCAUGACUCUAAGAGGUGGAUCUGAGAAGAUGUUGCUGUCGUUUAUGUCAGAGAGUGUUUGGCCUAUGUUUUCCUCUAAGAGUUUUAUAGUAUCUGGUUUUAUAUCUAGGUCUUGUGUCCAUUUGGAGUUGAUUUUUGUGUAUGGUGUUAGGGAGUGUUCUAAUUUCAUUCUUUUCCCAUGUGGCUGUCCAAUUUUCCCAGCACCACUUAUUGAACAAGCUGUCUUUUCUCCAUUGUAUAUUCUUGCCUCCUUUAUCAUAGAUUAGUUGGUAUACCUUAUCAUGUUAUCAGCAUUUAUCAACACUAAUAUACUUUUCACCUGUGUUACUACUUUUUUUUUUUUUUAGGGCCGCACUUGUGCCAUAUGGCAGUUCCAAGACUGGGGUUGAACUGGAGCUGCAGCUGCCUGCCUACACCACAGCCACAGCCACAGCCACAGCCACACGGGAAUCCUUAAUGGACUGAUCGAGACCAGGGAUCACAUCCACAACCUCAUGGAUGAUAGUUGGAUUCUUAACCCACUGAGCUACAACGGGAACUCUGUUGUGCUAUUUUUUCUUAGGCAGUUUUCCAAUUUAAUUUGUUUUAUUCCUACCCUUAGAGUCUUUAGGUCCUGAUGUCUUUCUAGAUUUAUUGCUCAAGAGAAGAUACUAAAGCAGUAGAUGUAAGGCAAGGUUGUUUUGAAGGACCGGUCUUAAUGUGUUUCUAAGGGAAUAUCUCAUCUGGUCUCCGGGCUUUAGCCUGGUCCCUGUGAACGACUCCCAGAUGUCUCCAGCUUGUGUUCUCUCCUGAGUUCUGGCCCAUUGUCUCCAGGUGACCUCUUCACAGACUACAUUUUCCUCCAAAUGUGUAACUUUUCUCAUAGCCUACUUUUGUCAAAUGUCCCAGUAAUGACAGUUUGCUAAGGCUUAAAGCCUUGGGAUCAUUUACUUCUGGACUGAACUUUGUCAGCAUUUUCCAAAGUGUCACUAGGGCACUCACGGAAAAGCAGUACUAUGAGUGUAUCAGAGACUGAGGAGUCCUAUUGUAAAAGAAACCGGUGACCUUUGCUUAACCCAGGAAACUCCAAACUUACUUGACCGAGGCAUUCUUUUUCUCUGUAAUACUGAUUCCUUGUCCUUAGAAUGGGUGUCUUGUAGAACAUGCUUUGGAAAUGUUGAUAUUGAUUUUAUCUACAUGUGUUUGGGAGCCAUUCCCUCUGAAGCAGAGGCUGUAAUGUGGCUAAACUCCAAGGUAGCAUUCUCAUGGUAGUCUGUAAACAGACUGGAGUCUCUAUGAAGGCUGACAGAAGAAAAAUUGAAGAAUUUAACAGUGAAAUCAAGACAUUAAUUCAUGGAGUUUGCGUUGUGGCUCAGUGGUAACAAACCUGGCUGGUAUCUUUGAGGACUCAAGUUUGAACCCUGGCCUAGCUCAGUGUGUUAAGGAUCUGGCAUUGCCGUGAGCUAUGUGGUAUAGGUUGCAGACGCCGCUCAGAUCCCCUGUCGCUGUGGCUGUGGUGUAGGCCAGCGGCUGUAUCUCCAGUUCCACCCCUAGCCUGGGAACUUCCAUGAGUUCCCAUCAUGGCUCAGUGGUUAACGAACCCAAGUAGUAUCCAUGAGGACGCGGGUUGGAUCCCUAGCCUUGCUCAGUGGUUUAAGGAUCUGGUGUUGCCAUGAGCUGUGGUGUAGGUUGCAAACGUGGCUCGGAUCCCCAUUGCUGUGUCUGUGGCUUGGGCCAGCAGCUCCAAUUCGACCCUAGCCUAGGAACCUCCAUAUGCUGAGGGUGAGGCAAAAGCCAAAAAAAAAAACCAAAAAAAACAAAAAAACAAGAACUUUUCUGGAAAACUCAGUUCUAAUACCUUGCCUCUUAUGGGGAAUGUGAAGACCUUAAGCAUUUAGAAAAGAACAGCUGAAAGAAAAUAGAAUGUGGCUGUCUGGGGUAUGUUCCUUUUUAUUUUCAUGGAGGACAAAGUCUAGGACCGGAGGAAUUGGUCCUAAACUUCAAAAAGAUUUUGAGUAUUUAAGGUAAAUUAGAGUUUUCUAGCACCAGUAGUUAUUUGAGAUGAAAAGUGACAGUAGAACAGCUUGUGGAAUAAUUUCUCAAGAGAGCUUUAAAACAAACAGGUUAUCUGACUUUGAUGUGGAUCUGAUUCCCUAAAGUAGGUACUUUACCUUCAAGAUUUGGAAUUUGUAUAUAUAGUUACUUGUGAAGGAACAUUUAAUUAUUUUGUACUGAGAAUAAAUAGUUAAUAAUUCUCUCAUGAGAGUCCAUUGCACAUCCAUCCUACACUGAAUAGCUGGAAUAUAAAAGGAAAGGGUCUAAGGACUGUGCAUGGAGUAGCAAAAAUGACAAGAACUUGGUGCUUUAUUUACAGGGAAAUGAAACAUGAACCCUACUUUUAGCUUUCACAGUUUGAUUAUUAUUAUUAUUUUUUAAUUUUAGGGCCAUACCCUCAACAUAAUAGAGGUUCCCAGGCUAGGGGUGGAUUCAGAGCUGCAGCUGCAGGCCUACUCCAAGCAACACUGGAUCUGAGCUGCAUCUGUGACCUACACUGCAGCUCACGGCAGUGCCAGAUCCUUAACCCACUGAGUGAGGCUGGGAAUCUAACCCGCGUCCUCAUGAAUACUAGUUGGGUUCAUUACUGCUGAGCCACAGUGGUAACUCCUAGCUAUCAUAGUUUGAGAUCAAAACCUUGUUGAUUUUCUCUUUUCUAGCACAUUAAAUCUCUUCCUGGCUGAGGGAUUGUUUUGACACUACAUAAUCUGGACAACCUACCUCUCUGUAGCACAGUAUAGUGAUUUAAUAGGUGGGUUCUGGAGUCAGACUGCCUAGUUUCACUACCCACUAGCCGAUUACAUAAUCCUUCUCUCUGUGCCUCAGUUUCCUCAGUUGUAAAACAGAGAUCCUUAGAAAAGUGCUUAGGACAGUGCCUGUCACCUAAUAACUCAGUAAUUGUUAAUUCCUGUCAAUAGUAUGAUUUAUUUUUCAAUUUAAUUUUUUAUUUUGUAAUGAAGUAUACUUCACUUGUACAGCAAAGUGAUUCAGUUAUGCAUAUACAAAUAUCCAUUCUUUUUCGGAUUCUUUUUCCAUAUAGAUUAUUACAGAAUAUUGAGUACAGUUCUUUGUGGUAUACAGUAGGUCCUUGUUGAUAUAUAUAGUAGUGUGUAUAUGUCAAUACCAAACUCCUAAUUUAUUGCCCCCCCCCACCUUUCCUUUUUGGUAACCAUAAAUUUGUUUUUGAAAGUCUGUAAGUCUGUUUUUCUGUUUUGUAAAUAAGUUCAUUUGUAUCAUUUUUUAAGGUUGCACAUGUGAGUGAUAUCAUAUGAUAUUUUUCUUUCUUUCUGACUUCACUUAGUGUGAUAAUCUCUUGAUCCAUCCAUUUUGCUGUAAAUGGCAUUGUUUCUUUUCUAUGACCAAGUAAUAUUCCUUUGUGUAUAUGUGCCACAUCUUUUUUUUUUUUGUCUUUUUAGGGCCACACCUCAUGUCAUAUGGAGAUUCCCAGUCUAGGGAUUGAAUUGGAGAUGCAGCUGACAGCCUACACCACAGCCACAGUAACACAGGAUCCAAGCCAUGUCUGUGACCUGCACCACAGCUCAGCACAACACCGGAUCCUUAACCCACUGAGCAAGUCCAGGGAUCGAACCUGGGUCCUCAUGGAUGCUAGUCAGAUUUGUUUUUGCUGAGCCACAACAGCAACUUCUGUACCACAUGUUCUUUAUCCAUUCCUCUGUCAGUGGGCAUUUAGGUUGCUUCCAUGUCUUGGCUAUUGUUAAUAGUACUUCAGUGUACAUUGGGGUUCAUGUAUUUUUUGGAAUUAUGCUUUUCUCCAAAUACAUGCCCAGGAGUGGGAUUGGGAUUUUUAGUUUUUUAAGGAAAUUUCAUACUGUAAAAACAGUGGUUAUACCAGUUUACAUUCCCACUAACAGUGUAAGAAGGUUCCCUUUCUUGACACCCUCUCCAGCAUUUAUUAUUUGUAGACUUUGAUGGCCAUCUUGACCAGUUCGGGGAUACCUCAUUGUAGUUUUGAUUUGCAUUUAUCUAAUAAUUAGCAGUGUUGAGCAUUUUUUUAUUUGCUUUUUAGUCAUUUGUAUGUCUUCUUUGGAGAAACGUCUAUUUAAAUUUUCAGUUUUUGAUCGUGUUGUUUAUUUGAUACUGACCUGCAUGAGCUGUUUGUAUAUUUAGGAGAUUAAUCCCUUGUCAGUUGCUUCAUUUGCAAAUGUUUUCUCCCAUUCUGCGGGUUGUCUUUUUAUUUCGUUUGUGGUUUUCUUUGCUGUGCAAAAGCUUUUAAGUUUAGUUAGGUCCCAUUGGUUUAUUUUAGUUUUUAUUGUCAUUAUUCUAGGAGGUGAAUCAAAUAAGAUAUUGCUGUGAUUUAUGUCAAAGAGUGUUUUGCCUGUUUUCCUCUAGGAGUUUUAUAGUAUCUGGCCUUACAUUUAGGUCUUUAAUCUAUUUUGAGUUUAUUUUUGGGUAUGAUGUUAGAAAAUAUUCUAGGGGAGUUCCCGUCGUGGCGCAGUGGUUAACGAAUCCGACUAGGAACCAUGAGGUUGCGGGUUCGGUCCCUGCCCUUGCUCAGUGGGUUAACGAUCCGGCGUUGCUGUGAGCUGUGGUGUAGGU